CAGCCGCCGCGGGAAUACGAAGGGUGCAAGCGUUACUCGGAAUUACUGGGCGUAAAGCGUGCGUAGGUGGUGGUUUAAGUCCGUUGUGAAAGCCCUGGGCUCAACCUGGGAAUUGCAGUGGAUACUGGGUCACUAGAGUGUGGUAGAGGAUAGUGGAAUUUCCGGUGUAGCAGUGAAAUGCGUAGAGAUCGGAAGGAACAUCUGUGGCGAAGGCGACUAUCUGGGCCAACACUGACACUGAGGCACGAAAGCGUGGGGAGCAAACAGGAUUAGAGACCCCUGUAGUCCCUGUCUCUUAUAC
RNAcentral lists this ribosomal RNA (301 nucleotides) under uncultured bacterium. Its description in RNAcentral is "partial 16S ribosomal RNA". It matches the Rfam family "Bacterial small subunit ribosomal RNA", at positions 509 to 807 of the family's 1533-position model. The record is from RNAcentral.